GACGAACGCUGGCGGCGUGCUUAACACAUGCGAGUCGAACGGAAAGGCCCUGCGUUUGUGGGGUGCUCGAGUGGCGAACGGGUGAGUAACACGUGAGUAACCUGCCCUUGACUUUGGGAUAACUUCAGGAAACUGGGGCUAAUACCGGAUAGGAGCUCCUGCUGCAUGGGGGGGGUUGGAAAGUUUCGGCGGUUGGGGAUGGACUCGCGGCUUAUCAGCUUGUUGGUGGGGUAGUGGCUUACCAAGGCUUUGACGGGUAGCCGGCCUGAGAGGGUGACCGGCGACAUUGGGACUGAGAUACGGCCCAGACUCCUACGGGAGGCAGUAGUGGGGAAUAUUGCACAAUGGGCGGAAGUGUGAUGUAGCAACGCCGCGUGCGGGAUGACGGCCUUCGGGUUGUAAACCGCUUUCGCAUGUGCCGAAGCGUGAGUGACGGUAAUGGGUAAAGAAGCAACGGCUAACUACGUG
RNAcentral lists this ribosomal RNA (468 nucleotides) under uncultured bacterium. Its description in RNAcentral is "partial 16S ribosomal RNA". It matches the Rfam family "Bacterial small subunit ribosomal RNA", at positions 28 to 507 of the family's 1533-position model. The record is from RNAcentral.